This 248-nucleotide ribosomal RNA is filed under the name uncultured Pelagophyceae. RNAcentral describes it as "partial Bacterial small subunit ribosomal RNA". It matches the Rfam family "Bacterial small subunit ribosomal RNA", at positions 1199 to 1446 of the family's 1533-position model. The record is from RNAcentral. Lineage: Eukaryota; Pelagophyceae.
CCUUUAUGACUUGGGCUACACACGUGCUACAAUGGCAGGUACAGAGGGCAGCUACAGAGUGAUCUGAUGCAAAACUCAAAAAGCCUGUCCCAGUUCGGAUUGCACUCUGCAACUCGAGUGCAUGAAGUUGGAGUUGCUAGUAAUCGUGGAUCAGAAUGCCACGGUGAAUGCGUUCCCGGGUCUUGUACACACCGCCCGUCACACCAUGGAAGUUGGCAAUACCCGAAGCCUGUGAGCUAACCUUUUGG